GCUCAGUAGCUGGCCAGAGUAGAUCAGUUUUUGCUCAUCGGCACUCUAGGAAAAAGAACAAAACAAUUAUUAAAUGUAGCUUCGUUCCGUCGAUCGAUUUUUUAAUUUGCCUCAUCCUACAACAUCUGUGGCUCGAUUUGAAUAAAACAAUCAUAUUUGGUGAAUUGCUGCUUCGCCACGUAGCUCUUAUUUAAUCAGACUUCGUUAUCAGUUGAGACGCAACACAUAACUGAUACGCGAAUGUUUUUUUUAAACUGCAUUUUCUACUCCUAACAGUGUCACUUUUAGGUGUACUCACAGUACACAAGUAACCAUAUUGGAUGAAAGUCAUGGCACAAAUAUUCUUUUAAACUAGUCGAUUCGGUGUAGGAUAUAAAAACCAUAAAGUUCAUUUUUGUUUUGAGUAGAAUCCGCAAAGCAAUUCAUUGCUGUGUGCGAGCGUCACAUCGAAUCGGCUACGACUUCGACGCGAAUGGUUUACCGGGAUGAACUUCCGUCAGGUGCCCUUUAAGUCGCCGGAUGGACCAAGUUGGUUCGCACUUGAUCGUCUGGUCAUCGAACUGCUGGUUCGUGGCUUUCACAAUCAGUGUGAUAUCCAUGAUGCAACUUCGACCGCUCAGAAUGAGUCAGAAUCUGUCAGAUUGCAGGUAGGUAGCAGGCGAUGAAUAAUAAUUCUGCUUGAUGGACAGAUUUUUGUUCUAAUUUUAGGUCGGACUUUGAUGGUGUUCUUGCAACGCGAGGUCAGAGCAAAACGAAAGCCUUUCUCGAACAACACUUCACUUUGUAAUAACAAAAAAACGAUAAGCAAGCAGUAGGAGACCUUUCACUGUUA
Molecule: long non-coding RNA, 832 nt
Organism: Topomyia yanbarensis
Lineage: Eukaryota; Metazoa; Arthropoda; Insecta; Diptera; Culicidae
Exons: 2
Source: RefSeq, a predicted model, not a curated record